GAGCGGUAGCUCAGUGGUAGAGCGUUCGAUUGCAGAAAUACCACAAAUUUCGAAUGGUCAUCGGUUCAA
This 69-nucleotide transfer RNA is filed under the name Aureoumbra lagunensis. RNAcentral's name for it is "partial tRNA". The record is from RNAcentral. Lineage: Eukaryota; Pelagophyceae; Sarcinochrysidales; Sarcinochrysidaceae.